Arabidopsis lyrata subsp. lyrata is the source of this 470-nucleotide long non-coding RNA. RefSeq lists it as uncharacterized. The record is from RefSeq and is a predicted model, not a curated record. NCBI's taxonomy places the organism in Eukaryota, Viridiplantae, Streptophyta, Magnoliopsida, Brassicales, Brassicaceae. The transcript is spliced from 2 exons.
CCGGAUAUUAUGUAUUAAUUCAAAGAAAAGAGUACUGAUGUUAAUAUGGGUUUAAUAGCCCCUUUAUCUAGAUGGGUUUAUUGUUAAAAAAUUGUCUAUAUAGACGUGGAAAAAUGUUAAAUGAGGUUAAAUGGAGGAGCCUAAUUAUCUCAAAUGAAUAUCUAUUUAAAUCCGUUUAUUUUUAUUUUUCUUAAUUUAUUUUUGCCAAACCGGUGUCGUUUAUGUGUAGGAUUUCACAAUCAAAGCUCGAAAUCAGAUUUGUCUAUCUUCUUCACAUGUGACACAAUCUCAAGCUAUGGUCCUCUUGAAUCUUCGAGCCUCGACGAAUUUCAGUGAUUCCCAAGUCUCUAACUUGAAGGAAAUAGAAGAAAUCUUUUCUCAUCGGAGUUUGAGUUUACAUCUCAAUGAUUUUACUAGUUGUUUUACUAGUUUGGGGACAUACCCUUGAUACUGGUGCUUGGGGACAUACC